GACGGCUCAGUAACACGUGGCUAACCUACCCUCGGGUGGGGGAUAACCUCGGGAAACUGAGGAUAAUACCCCAUAGGAGAAGAGGUCUGGAAUGAUCCUUCUCUGAAAACAUAUGUGCCCGAGGAUGGGGCUGCGUCUGAUUAGGUAGUUGGUGGGGUAACGGCCCACCAAGCCUACGAUCAGUACGGGCCUUGAGAGAGGCAGCCCGGAGAUGGGGACUGAGACACGGCCCCAGGCCCUACGGGGCGCAGCAGGCGCGAAACCUCCGCAAUGCACGAAAGUGCGACGGGGGGACCCCAAGUGCUUACGCACUGCGUAGGCUUUUCUAAAGUGUAAAAAGCUUUAGGAAUAAGGGUUGGGCAAGUCCGGUGCCAGCAGCCGCGGUAACACCGGCGGCCCGAGUGGUGACCACUUUUAUUGGGCCUAAAGCGUCCGUAGCCGGUCCAGUAAGUCCCUGUUUAAAUCCUACGGCUUAACCGUAGGGCUGGCAGGGAUACUGCUGGACUUGGGACCGGGAGAGGGCGAGGGUACUUCAGGGGUAGCGGUGAAAUGUGUUGAUCCCUGGAGGACCACCUAUGGCGAAGGCACUCGCCUGGAACG
RNAcentral lists this ribosomal RNA (600 nucleotides) under uncultured archaeon. RNAcentral's name for it is "bacterial SSU rRNA". It matches the Rfam family "Archaeal small subunit ribosomal RNA", at positions 83 to 687 of the family's 1478-position model. The record is from RNAcentral.